Molecule: ribosomal RNA, 1726 nt
Filed under: Salmonella enterica subsp. enterica serovar Dublin str. UC16
Lineage: Bacteria; Pseudomonadati; Pseudomonadota; Gammaproteobacteria; Enterobacterales; Enterobacteriaceae
Description: bacterial LSU rRNA
Rfam family: Bacterial large subunit ribosomal RNA
Source: RNAcentral
GUUGGGUAGGGGAGCGUUCUGUAAGCCUGUGAAGGUGGCCUGUGAGGGUUGCUGGAGGUAUCAGAAGUGCGAAUGCUGACAUAAGUAACGAUAAAGCGGGUGAAAAGCCCGCUCGCCGGAAGACCAAGGGUUCCUGUCCAACGUUAAUCGGGGCAGGGUGAGUCGACCCCUAAGGCGAGGCCGAAAGGCGUAGUCGAUGGGAAACGGGUUAAUAUUCCCGUACUUGGUGUUACUGCGAAGGGGGGACGGAGAAGGCUAUGUUGGCCGGGCGACGGUUGUCCCGGUUUAAGCGUGUAGGUGUGUGUUCCAGGUAAAUCCGGUUCACUUUAACACUGAGGCGUGAUGACGAGGCACUACGGUGCUGAAGUAACAAAUGCCCUGCUUCCAGGAAAAGCCUCUAAGCAUCAGGUAACAUCAAAUCGUACCCCAAACCGACACAGGUGGUCAGGUAGAGAAUACCAAGGCGCUUGAGAGAACUCGGGUGAAGGAACUAGGCAAAAUGGUGCCGUAACUUCGGGAGAAGGCACGCUGACACGUAGGUGAAGUGAUUUACUCAUGGAGCUGAAGUCAGUCGAAGAUACCAGCUGGCUGCAACUGUUUAUUAAAAACACAGCACUGUGCAAACACGAAAGUGGACGUAUACGGUGUGACGCCUGCCCGGUGCCGGAAGGUUAAUUGAUGGGGUCAGCGCAAGCGAAGCUCCUGAUCGAAGCCCCGGUAAACGGCGGCCGUAACUAUAACGGUCCUAAGGUAGCGAAAUUCCUUGUCGGGUAAGUUCCGACCUGCACGAAUGGCGUAAUGAUGGCCAGGCUGUCUCCACCCGAGACUCAGUGAAAUUGAACUCGCUGUGAAGAUGCAGUGUACCCGCGGCAAGACGGAAAGACCCCGUGAACCUUUACUAUAGCUUGACACUGAACAUUGAGCCUUGAUGUGUAGGAUAGGUGGGAGGCUUUGAAGUGUGGACGCCAGUCUGCAUGGAGCCGACCUUGAAAUACCACCCUUUAAUGUUUGAUGUUCUAACGUGGACCCGUUACCCGGGUUGCGGACAGUGUCUGGUGGGUAGUUUGACUGGGGCGGUCUCCUCCUAAAGAGUAACGGAGGAGCACGAAGGUUGGCUAAUCCUGGUCGGACAUCAGGAGGUUAGUGCAAUGGCAUAAGCCAGCUUGACUGCGAGCGUGACGGCGCGAGCAGGUGCGAAAGCAGGUCAUAGUGAUCCGGUGGUUCUGAAUGGAAGGGCCAUCGCUCAACGGAUAAAAGGUACUCCGGGGAUAACAGGCUGAUACCGCCCAAGAGUUCAUAUCGACGGCGGUGUUUGGCACCUCGAUGUCGGCUCAUCACAUCCUGGGGCUGAAGUAGGUCCCAAGGGUAUGGCUGUUCGCCAUUUAAAGUGGUACGCGAGCUGGGUUUAGAACGUCGUGAGACAGUUCGGUCCCUAUCUGCCGUGGGCGCUGGAGAACUGAGGGGGGCUGCUCCUAGUACGAGAGGACCGGAGUGGACGCAUCACUGGUGUUCGGGUUGUCAUGCCAAUGGCACUGCCCGGUAGCUAAAUGCGGAAGAGAUAAGUGCUGAAAGCAUCUAAGCACGAAACUUGCCCCGAGAUGAGUUCUCCCUGAGACUUAAAGUCUCCUGAAGGAACGUUGAAGACGACGACGUUGAUAGGCCGGGUGUGUAAGCGCAGCGAUGCGUUGAGCUAACCGGUACUAAUGAACCGUGAGGCUUAACCCUA